This 253-nucleotide ribosomal RNA is filed under the name uncultured bacterium. Its description in RNAcentral is "partial 16S ribosomal RNA". It matches the Rfam family "Bacterial small subunit ribosomal RNA", at positions 524 to 776 of the family's 1533-position model. The record is from RNAcentral.
UACAGAGGUGGCAAGCGUUGCUCGGUAUCACUGGGCUUAAAGGGCGCGUAGGCGGUGCGGUACGGUUUCGGUGAAAUCCCUCGGCCCAACCGAGGAACAGCCGGGGCUACGGCCGCGCUAGACGGCAUCAGGGGACAGUGGAACUCCCGGUGGAGCGGUGAAAUGCGUAGAUAUCGGGAGGAACGCCGGUGGCGAAAGCGACUGUCUGGGGUGCCUGUGACGCUGAUGCGCGAAAGCGUGGGGAGCGAUCCGG